GACGAACGCUGGCGGCGUGCUUAACACAUGCAAGUCGAACGGAAAGGCCCUGCUUUUGUGGGGUGCUCGAGUGGCGAACGGGUGAGUAACACGUGAGUAGCCUGCCCUUGACUUUGGGAUAACUUAAGGAAACUGGGGCUAAUACCGGAUAGGAGCUCCUGCUGCAUGGUGGGGGUUGGAAAGUUUCGGCGGUUGGGGUUGGACUCGCGGCUUAUCAGCUUGUUGGUGGGGUAGUGGCUUACAAAGGCUUUGACGGGUAGCCGGCCUGAGAGGGUGACCGGCCACAUUGGGACUGAGAUACGGCCCAGACUCCUACGGGAGGCAGCAGUGGGGAAUAUUGCACAAUGGGCGGAAGCCUGAUGCAGCAACGCCGCGUGCGGGAUGACGGCCUUCGGGUUGUAAACCGCUUUCGCCUGUGACGAAGCGUGAGUGACGGUAAUGGGUAAAGAAGCACCGGCUAACUACGUG
Molecule: ribosomal RNA, 468 nt
Filed under: uncultured bacterium
Lineage: Bacteria
Description: partial 16S ribosomal RNA
Rfam family: Bacterial small subunit ribosomal RNA
Source: RNAcentral